GAUGAACGCUAGCGACAGGCUUAACACAUGCAAGUCGAGGGGCAGCAGGGGAGUAGCAAUACUCCCGCUGGCGACCGGCGCACGGGUGAGUAACACGUAUGCAACCUGCCCUUGUCAGGGGGAUAAGCGGAAGAAAUUCCGUCUAAUACCGCAUAAUGCUGCGGGGAGACAUCUCCCUGCAGCCAAAGAUUUAUCGGACAAGGAUGGGCAUGCGGCGCAUUAGCUUGUUGGCGGGGUAACGGCCCACCAAGGCGACGAUGCGUAGGGGUUCUGAGAGGAAGGUCCCCCACACUGGUACUGAGACACGGACCAGACUCCUACGGGAGGCAGCAGUGAGGAAUAUUGGUCAAUGGCCGGGAGGCUGAACCAGCCAAGUCGCGUGAGGGAAGACGGUCCUAUGGAUUGUAAACCUCUUUUGUCAGGGAGCAAAAACUGCCACGUGUGGCAGGAUGAGAGUACCUGAAGAAAAAGCAUCGGCUAACUCCGUGCCAGCAGCCGCGGUAAUACGGAGGAUGCGAGCGUUAUCCGGAUUUAUUGGGUUUAAAGGGUGCGUAGGCGGACAGUUAAGUCAGCGGUAAAAUUGAGAGGCUCAACCUCUUCCCGCCGUUGAAACUGAUUGUCUUGAGUGGGCGAGAAGUAUGCGGAAUGCGUGGUGUAGCGGUGAAAUGCAUAGAUAUCACGCAGAACUCCGAUUGCGAAGGCAGCAUACCGGCGCCCAACUGACGCUGAAGCACGAAAGCGUGGGUAUCGAACAGGAUUAGAUACCCUGGUAGUCCACGCAGUAAACGAUGAAUACUAAUUGUUCGGGUCAAAUGAGAUCUGAGUGAUACAGCGAAAGCGUUAAGUAUUCCACCUGGGGAGUACGCCGGCAACGGUGAAACUCAAAGGAAUUGACGGGGGCCCGCACAAGCGGAGGAACAUGUGGUUUAAUUCGAUGAUACGCGAGGAACCUUACCCGGGCUCAAACGACACAGGAAUGAUCUGAGAAAUCAGGCAGUCCUCCGGGACCUGUGUCGAGGUGCUGCAUGGUUGUCGUCAGCUCGUGCCGUGAGGUGUCGGCUUAAGUGCCAUAACGAGCGCAACCCCCAUCGACAGUUGCCAGCAGGUCAAGCUGGGCACUCUGUCGAGACUGCCGGCGCAAGCUGUGAGGAAGGCGGGGAUGACGUCAAAUCAGCACGGCCCUUACGUCCGGGGCGACACACGUGUUACAAUGGCAGGUACAGCGGGAAGCCACCUGGCGACAGGGUGCGGAACCCGAAAGCCUGUCUCAGUUCGGAUUGGAGUCUGCAACUCGACUCCAUGAAGCUGGAUUCGCUAGUAAUCGCGCAUCAGCCACGGCGCGGUGAAUACGUUCCCGGGCCU
Molecule: ribosomal RNA, 1362 nt
Filed under: uncultured bacterium
Lineage: Bacteria
Description: 16S ribosomal RNA
Rfam family: Bacterial small subunit ribosomal RNA
Source: RNAcentral